RNAcentral lists this ribosomal RNA (442 nucleotides) under uncultured bacterium. RNAcentral's name for it is "bacterial SSU rRNA". It matches the Rfam family "Bacterial small subunit ribosomal RNA", at positions 542 to 984 of the family's 1533-position model. The record is from RNAcentral.
UAUCCGGAUUUAUUGGGCGUAAAGGGCUCGUAGGCGGCUCGUCGCGUCCGGUGUGAAAGUCCAUCGCUUAACGGUGGAUCUGCGCCGGGUACGGGCGGGCUGGAGUGCGGUAGGGGAGACUGGAAUUCCCGGUGUAACGGUGGAAUGUGUAGAUAUCGGGAAGAACACCGAUGGCGAAGGCAGGUCUCUGGGCCGUCACUGACGCUGAGGAGCGAAAGCGUGGGGAGCGAACAGGAUUAGAUACCCUGGUAGUCCACGCCGUAAACGGUGGACGCUGGAUGUGGGGCACGUUCCACGUGUUCCGUGUCGGAGCUAACGCGUUAAGCGUCCCGCCUGGGGAGUACGGCCGCAAGGCUAAAACUCAAAGAAAUUGACGGGGGCCCGCACAAGCGGCGGACAUGCGAUUAAUUCAUGCAACGCGAAGAACCUUACCUGGGCUUGA